This 497-nucleotide ribosomal RNA is filed under the name uncultured bacterium. RNAcentral's name for it is "partial 16S ribosomal RNA". It matches the Rfam family "Bacterial small subunit ribosomal RNA", at positions 28 to 507 of the family's 1533-position model. The record is from RNAcentral.
GAUGAACGCUAGCGGCGUGCCUAAUACAUGCAAGUCGAGCGAACAGACGAGGAGCUUGCUCCUCUGACGUUAGCGGCGGACGGGUGAGUAACACGUGGAUAACCUACCUAUAAGACUGGGAUAACUUCGGGAAACCGGAGCUAAUACCGGAUAAUAUAUUGAACCGCAUGGUUCAAUAGUGAAAGACGGUUUUGCUGUCACUUAUAGGUGGAUCCGCGCCGCAUUAGCUAGUUGGUAAGGUAACGGCUUACCAAGGCAACGAUGCGUAGCCGACCUGAGAGGGUGAUCGGCCACACUGGAACUGAGACACGGUCCAGACUCCUACGGGAGGCAGCAGUAGGGAAUCUUCCGCAAUGGGCGAAAGCUUGACGGAGCAACGCCGCGUGAGUGAUGAAGGUCUUCGGAUCGUAAAACUCUGUUAUUAGGGAAGAACAAAUGUGUAAGUAACUAUGCACGUCUUGACGGUACCUAAUCAGAAAGCCACGGCUAACUACGUG